RNAcentral lists this ribosomal RNA (492 nucleotides) under uncultured bacterium. RNAcentral describes it as "partial 16S ribosomal RNA". It matches the Rfam family "Bacterial small subunit ribosomal RNA", at positions 29 to 507 of the family's 1533-position model. The record is from RNAcentral.
AGUGAACGCUGGCGGUAGGCCUAACACAUGCAAGUCGAACGGCAGCACAGUAAGAGCUUGCUCUUACGGGUGGCGAGUGGCGGACGGGUGAGGAAUACAUCGGAAUCUACUUUUUCGUGGGGGGUAACGUAGGGAAACUUACGCUAAUACCGCAUACGACCUACGGGUGAAAGCAGGGGAUCUUCGGACCUUGCGCGAUUGAAUGAGCCGAUGUCGGAUUAGCUAGUUGGCGGGGUAAAGGCCCACCAAGGCGACGAUCCGUAGCUGGUCUGAGAGGAUGAUCAGCCACACUGGAACUGAGACACGGUCCAGACUCCUACGGGAGGCAGCAGUGGGGAAUAUUGGACAAUGGGCGCAAGCCUGAUCCAGCCAUACCGCGUGGGUGAAGAAGGCCUUCGGGUUGUAAAGCCCUUUUGUUGGGAAAGAAAAGCAGCAGGUUAAUACCCCGCUGUUCUGACGUUACCCAAAGAAUAAGCACCGGCUAACUUCGUG